This is a long non-coding RNA of Pogona vitticeps (central bearded dragon), 1712 nucleotides long. Lineage: Eukaryota; Metazoa; Chordata; Lepidosauria; Squamata; Agamidae. The record is from Ensembl.
GAGGUUAUCUCUGGAGAAGAAGUUCAGUGCAUUCCAAUUUUUUCAGCACAAGCUUGCUGGCCUCCAGACACUUUGCUGCCUGCGGCAAAGGGCAACAUAAUGUCCUCUGCCAGCCAGCUGAACUGGCAGCUGGAUUGUCCUUUUGAUGCUGACAGUGAGACAGCAUGCUGCUGAAGUAGGCAGGGCAGAGUGGUGUCCUUCAGACAACUGGCACUGUAGCUCCUCCACCCUUGUUCCCAGGGGAGAUUGUCUCACUUUGCCUAAUAGCAGGGCCAGUUCUGCAGCACCCUAAGCAGGAUGCUUUCCCCACUCCACCAGACUGCUUCCUCCGCCUUUGCUCUGUUGGAAGGAACUAUCCCUUCCCUCUGUAGUUCUCUCUCCCUCUUUCCACAUCCCCAGCUUGCUCUCUGGACUCCCGCUUAAUAUAGCCUGUGCCGAAUCCUCGCCCCUCUAUUCUGCCUCUAUCUAUAGCUCCUCCUUGGUCUUCUCUUAUUCCUAUUUUAAGCCUGAGCCGCUGAUGUGACAGGCAGAAGCUUGUGUUUACUUCCCUUCAGUUCCCAGGGAUGUGCACAGGCCCUCUCCCAGCCUCUUCCAGAUUUUCCCCUCUUCUCCUUUUCCGCCACAACAACUGCAGUAAGAGGAGUCUGGCUAUAGGGAUGUCCGGCGAGAUUGGAGAAGACACUAUGGUGAAGAAGGCUGCUUCCUCCGAGAGGGAACUGAUGGAACUAAGCGAAAAUGAUGUAGCAGAAAUCAACCUGCACGCUGUGGAAUCCAUCAGCGACUUGCACUACGGAUCCAGCAGACACGAAGGGAGCAGCCAGACUCAGCACAACAGCCCGUGGACACCGCAUAGCCUGGCCUCCUCCAAGCACUUCACUUUCCCAAAUGAAGAGGACUCGUCCUUUGUACCCAUCCAGAAUUUCCACAUGAUGCCCACUUUCACCUGUUGUCCUUGCUUUGGCCCAACCUGUUGCCCCACUGGCUUCUUUGCCCUCCUCGGAGUGCUGGUUGUGGCCAGUCUAGGCCUGGCCACCCUGGCGGUCUAUCUGAGUGCUCUGGAUUUCUAUGGGGACCUUUUGGUGAUAAGAAGCCAAGGUGCCAUAGCACCCCACAGCGAUGCUUCUGGUCCUGCAACGUGAGUCACUUCGGACGCUUGCUCAGUGGCUGGAGUCACAAGAGGAGGCCAUUCGACAAAUGAGAGCAGUGAGUUUACAGCUAUGGAAGCAGCUCAAUGCCAGCGAGCCUGGGGCUCAAACCUGAGCUUGGCAGUUACUACUCGUCUUGGUUCUAACUUUCCUUGGGGGAAGCCCGAUUCAUGUGACAAUGAGAGAAAACCAACUCACUGCUUGGCGCAUUUCGGACACUUGACAUGUGUUGGUUUGGACUCUGCAAUUCCUAAAGCAGAAAGCUCUCCAGAAGCAUUAGAGACCCGUUGCUGAAGUGUGUGUGGCCCGCAGACAGGAACAGCUGCAACACUUGAGGCUACCCAGGAAAGGGAGGAAGACUGGCAGAAACCCUACCCAUUGGUAAAGAGGAAGGGGUGCCUCCCGUGAACACUUCAGAUGCUGUUUUUUUUUCCAUACAUACACAGUAUUUUAAAUACUGUAUAUAUUAUCAGUACCUUUUCUCCACUUUAUAAUCAUUUAAAAUAUUGCUCACAUGGCACCUUUUGAUGUGUGUCUGGCAAUAAAAGCCACAAGCUUCCUUGGUCA